Molecule: ribosomal RNA, 470 nt
Filed under: uncultured bacterium
Lineage: Bacteria
Description: bacterial SSU rRNA
Rfam family: Bacterial small subunit ribosomal RNA
Source: RNAcentral
AUUGAACGCUGGCGGCAGGCCUAAUACAUGCAAGUCGAACGGUAACAUGAAAAAGCUUGCUUUUUUGAUGACGAGUGGCGAACGGGUGAGUAACGCGUGAGGAACCUGCCUUUCAUGGGGGACAACAGUUGGAAACGACUGCUAAUACCGCAUGAUACUAUUGAGUGGCAUCACUUGAUAGUCAAAGAUUUAUUGCUGAAAGAUGGUCUCGCGUCUGAUUAGCUAGUUGGUGAGGUAACGGCUCACCAAGGCGACGAUCAGUAGCCGGUCUGAGAGGAUGAACGGCCACAUUGGGACUGAGAUACGGCCCAGACUCCUACGGGAGGCAGCAGUGGGGAAUAUUGGGCAAUGGGGGAAACCCUGACCCAGCAACGCCGCGUGAAGGAAGAAGGCCUUCGGGUUGUAAACUUCUUUUACCAGGGACGAAGAACGUGACGGUACCUGGAGAAAAAGCAACGGCUAACUACGUG